CCCUGAGCCUUUUUUUCCCUUUAUAACAGAAGUCGUAGGUUGUGUAAACAAAAACUGUUGUUUCCCUUUCUGCUGCUUUUCUUCACCCAAACCAAAUGGUUUUCGUCUAGCUCCCCGAGUUCUUUCAGCCGAGGUUGCAGGAGAGGAUGCAUCAUCAUGCACGUCUCCUUCGUUGACUGAACGCCCGGGGUGUGCGAAGAGGAAGUAGGCAGAAGAAGGAGGAGCACUGUUAGGUUCUGGCAAACCCAAAGAACAAGGGCACCCUACGAAACGAGAACGGCGGGCGGAGGCGGAGAGAGGUAGGUAGGAACAUGUCGUCGUGUCGUGUUCUGGCUGUUCCUCUGGUCGUGCGCGUGAUGAACGCCCCUAUGAUGUGUGUGUUGCAUAUUUCUAAACUAAACCAUAUAUAACUAAAGUUUCGGGUAAGUUAGGACAAAGCAGCAAGCAGCGCUCGUCCCGGAUUAGAUUUAGCGGCUUAACGAAGCAGCGGUUAGUUGGCUAGUUAGUUAGUUCUCGAGCGGUGAGCAGCUGCCUGUGGCUGGUUCGGGGCCGGCCGGUACCACCACGCCCCGGUCGUUCUAGACCUGUAGUUGUAGCAGGCGACCCCCGAGGUGGUGGAGGAGCUGCCGCCGCGGAGAGGGCCGCCGCCGCCGACGCACGUGGCGGGAGUUAGGGGGUGGUGGCUGAUGCGGGGCGGCGGCGGCGUCGGGGUGGCGCGGGCGCGGGAAGAGCUGCCGAUGCUGUACCGGGGGCGUGGGCGGGGGCUCCAGUCCCAGCUGCGCCAGCUCUUGCUGCUCCAGUAGCGCGUGCGCGACGUCCUCCUCGAGCGCGUCCAGCGGUACCGGCUCCGCAGGCCCCGGCAGCCGCCGUCGCUCGGGCUCGCGGCGCGGUGGCAGGAGCGCGUCGUCACCAAGGCGGGGCUCCAGCAGUCGGUAGACGGGAGUCGUGGCGGCAUACAUCUUCUUCGUCUCCCGAGUUCAGGUGCAAGCUCGGGGCUUCUUCUAGCGUUACGCGCGCUGCCGGUGCCCACGAGCUAUCUCGAGCACCUGCUAAAGAGACGAGAGCUGCCGCUUCAGCCGUUUUCUGACUUACUGUACCAGGGACAGGGAGUACAGGGAUUUUGUUUGCCUCUGUAAGGAAGAAAACUACUUCGGAAAAGUCUAGUGGCUUCUGAAGAACUGUCCAACCACGACAUACCAGACCAACUCGAGUUCCAAUUGCCUCUACCGUUAACAGUCAAAGCCCGUAACAGACUAGUUAAGAUGGCUUGAGGACUUGUGGUAUCUAAACAUGCCGUUGUUCACCAGUUAGUCGAAGUCAGAGUAGGACUCUAUAUACGACCUAUACAGGGAUACCUAAUGUCUCUUAUAGAAUUCUUCUACGGUUUCUUACCUCUCACCCCACUGGUACAAUGUGACGUCCGACGACGUCUGAACCAUUCGUACUAAGGAGGAAGGAGUGGUAAAAAUGAUCAUCAACUAGACAGCAUGGACAUGUAUGUAAGAGUACCAUAGAUACGUCGCAUAUAUCAUGUAGUAACUGAUUAUUAAAUGAGGGAGGUAAGGUAUUAUUAUGUUCUACAAUAAUGAUCGUUAUAUGAGUGUAUAACCAUCAUUAUCGGAUAAUAUAAUAUCCUACCUCUCUCAUGGAAAGUGACGGUAGUAUAUAUAUAAUCUUCUCGAUGUAACGUUAAAGUGGUGUACUAAAAUGUUACACUAACUUGAUAGAGUUAUACUCCAGUACCCAAGCUCAGGGCCUUUAUUGGAGAGCGUCUUUACAUCCCUGUCUAACGCAUGUUUUCUGGGUUUCACCAGCUUGGGAAGGGGUCUGGAACGCGUUCGCCCUCAAUGCACGUAACUCGACAGGAAUUAACGACAACAGUUUCUGGAAGCUAAAAUAUGGCACAACUAGAAAGACAGCCUGAAAGACUGGGAGGAUCCGCGUGGGACCCCUUCAGACAAAAUUUGGAACUUAAACAUACCCACCAGCUUUAGUUUGGGGUUGGAGAGUUAGGAACUCUAGGGGUAGACGGUGCGGAUAUAACGCACCGUGUACUGGAAUAGCGAACGGAGAAGUAUUUCCUAGAAACGGCGGGUGGAAUCCCAGUGUAGUGUCGCGGUGGUGGCUGCACUUUCCGCACGGGGAAGAAGUACUCAGAGUUUACGCGCGGAGAGGCUGACAGCGCCAGCGGGUCGUGCAACGAGACCGGAAAAAGCUCAAAGCGUAUACAACAGCGGAGGGACUCGGUUGCGACCACUGGCCUCUGUUUGGGAGCCUUAGUAGCAGUCUGGUGUAGGUUACCGUACGGACUUAAUCACUGGUUACCGGAGGGGCCACGGUGCACACGUUAGGGACAAACCUUUGACUGCAUUUGGGAUCAGAGGGGCCACGGUGCACACGUUAGGGACAAACCUUUGACUGCAUUUGGGAUCAGAGGGGCCACGGUGUAUACGUUAGGAACAAACCUUUGACUGCAUUUGGGAUCAGAGGGGCCACGGUGUAUACGUUAGGAACAAACCUUUGACUGCAUUCGGGCCUGAGGGGCCAUGGUGCAUACGUUAGGAACAAACCUUUGACUGCAUUCGGUACCUGAGGGGCCACGGUGUAUACGUUAGGAACAAACUUUUGUCUGAAUCGGCACGAUGACUGGCCCUAACAGCUAAAGGCCCUAACUCUCCAAUCCCAAACUAAGGUUGUUCCGCAUUUUCAAGCUCCAAAUAAAGUAUGAUCGGUUUGGCCGACCCGGGUGUCCAGUCACACCGGUUUGGCACACCGGGGUGGCCAGUCGCUCGCCGCGUGCCCCGGGUGGUAGGUAGGUGCACUUGGCGUGGUCGGUGGGUCUUUUUUGGCUUGGGUGGUGGCGGGGACCGCCGGAGCGAGCGGGAAUAGGGGGGCGGGCGGAGGUGUGGGCGGCGGCGGCGGUAAAUGAGGUGGUGGUGAGGGAGGGAGGGAGAAAGGGGGUCUAGGUCUAGACUUGGCGGCGGGCGGCGGCUCCCCGGUAGGCUACCUCCGCUCCUUCUCGCGCGGCCCCGUCGGGACCAGCCUGCCGCUCUGGUACGUGGAGUAGCUGCAGAUGCUCCUGGCGACCUGGUCCGACGCGGCCCCGGUCGAGUUCCGCGUGGUCACCCUCCUGCACCGGCGGCUGCAGUGGGCGGCGACGCCGCCGGUCGCGUUCUGGCCGUGGGUCACGGCGGUGUUCGAGCUCUUCGAGGCGUUCGCGAUGGCGUGGCUCCGGCGGGCGGGGCAGUGGAGGGAGACCGGGAAGAAGGCGGCGUACCUCGCGGAGCUCGCGCCGGGGCAGGGGCAGAGGUGGUUGAGGAAGGGGCGGAGGGGCGGGCGGAGGCUGCUGCUGGUUCUGGUUCUGGUCCUGGUGCUGGACCUGGACCUGGACCUGGUCCUCCUCCUUCUUCUUCUACUUCUUCUCCUUCUCCUACCGCUCCUCCUGGUUCUUCUCCUCCUCCUCCUCGUUAACGAGCAGCGGUCUUUGUCCUCGUAGUUGCCGGAGCACGCGCUGCGGCCGCCCAAGUCCCCGGUAGUCGUCGUCGUCGUCGCCGCCGCGGGCAGCGGCGGACGACAGUGCGACAGGUGGCGCGGAGGUGCGUUCUCCCAGAGGAUACUCCGGCGGUACAAGGUCAGGUUCCGGCGGCGACGUCUGUCCCAGUUCCGACUCCUCCGAGGGCGGCACCUGGUGGUGAGGCAGCGUCCGCACAACUCCCUGUAGCCGCUCCCUUAGUUCGCCGACCUCUCCGCCUCUUACCUCCACGUCACCCUCUAACUCGCCCCCACCUUCCUCUGCCUCCGGGCGUCAUUAGUCUACGAGGUCCUGCGGGUCGCCGUCAAUGUCCUGUGAGAGCGGUGUGACGGCGGCUGCCCCUUCUUCCGGUCCUCCCUGGUACCGUCGUCACGUCUGCCGAACGUCCUCCGAUCGAUCGCUAACGAGCUAGAGCUAACCCCCUAUCCGUCCAACUUUCGACAAAUAAAAGAAUAGACCACCAUCACUUCCCUCCGUUUAUCUAACAAGGAUCAGAAGUAGGAGACGAGCCCUACAUACAUAAAUCAAGAGCAGCACUUGCUAAGACUGGUAACAACGAAUGAAGCCAUGCGUACCGUUUGGUACGAAGAAUGGUCUGGUCAACGUAAGACAGAGAUGAAACCAACCAGAAACGUCACUAACUACAGAACCUGUUAACGGUAUUGAAUUAACAUACGGGCAGUGGACUAUACUCACUUUUUUACACUGAAAAACCCGUCGUAGAGAAUUCUUGGAGAAGAACUACUACACAUCAAAGAACCGUAAUAAUGGUCACUCGACGAGUACAGUAUACUGACGAGACGAUAAACAUAUACGUAACUAAAAAAAAAGUCAUACCACACUUCUAAAAGUAGGAUUGUAGUAAGUCUCUAUGUACGAUGUAACUUUAAGAGGGUCAGCAAGUUUUUAGUUUAUCUCAAUAUACAAACUCAAAAACCCGGCUCCACGUGAUGUUGAGCUAUAUAGGCCUUCCUCUCAACGGGUAGCACCUCUUGUCUUUCUUCUCCACCACCGUGAACCUCAAGAUCUGAACAUCACGAUUUUGGUUUUCCCCUUAUCUUCUAAACUAAACAAGAAAACUAGAGUACCGUCGAACAGCCUAGCUGCCAGCAAAACAAGCUGGUACACUAAUGCUCCCUAGACUCCUCGACGCUACGGCAUCCUGACUACUUCUCUAACUGACUGUCAAGCAAACAUGUAUAUAUCGUCAUAGACGUGACAACUGACCCAGACACUAUACACUACACUUGUAAACAACAUCAUGAAUAUUAUAUAGAUAUAUGUAGUGAAUAAAAAGAUCCUCUCCAAUACAGUUAUAAUCGUCUUUCGCAACUGUUUUACUAUGAGGGAGGUAGGCUUUUACAUUCUAGUAAAAACUGUGAUACCCUGCCUCCCUCAUAUAAAGAAACGUGAAACUGUGUUUACUGUGUGUGGAACACCGUGACUGUUCACCGAAGUCCAGGGUGUACAGUCACUAUGUCCUGCAGAGUAAACCCUACAGACACCACGUUCCGUGCGGUCAAACAGUUUCGUUUUGUUUUCACCGCAUCUAGUAAAACAGUUUAAGGGACAUUUAACUAGGUAGAAGAAGC
This 5124-nucleotide ribosomal RNA is filed under the name Triticum aestivum (bread wheat). Its description in RNAcentral is "partial small subunit ribosomal RNA". Lineage: Eukaryota; Viridiplantae; Streptophyta; Magnoliopsida; Poales; Poaceae. The record is from RNAcentral.